This 28-nucleotide small RNA is filed under the name Bombyx mori (domestic silkworm). RNAcentral describes it as "ovarian small RNA-27139". Lineage: Eukaryota; Metazoa; Arthropoda; Insecta; Lepidoptera; Bombycidae. The record is from RNAcentral.
UCCCAAGGUGGCGCCUCGACGAGCAAGC